RNAcentral lists this ribosomal RNA (498 nucleotides) under Candida tropicalis. RNAcentral describes it as "eukaryotic LSU rRNA". The stretch from base 139 to 292 matches the Rfam family "5.8S ribosomal RNA". Lineage: Eukaryota; Fungi; Ascomycota; Pichiomycetes; Serinales; Debaryomycetaceae. The record is from RNAcentral.
GGGAAUUGCUUAUUGCACCACAUGUGUUUUUUAUUGAACAAAUUUCUUUGGUGGCGGGAGCAAUCCUACCGCCAGAGGUUAUAACUAAACCAAACUUUUUAUUUACAGUCAAACUUGAUUUAUUAUUACAAUAGUCAAAACUUUCAACAACGGAUCUCUUGGUUCUCGCAUCGAUGAAGAACGCAGCGAAAUGCGAUACGUAAUAUGAAUUGCAGAUAUUCGUGAAUCAUCGAAUCUUUGAACGCACAUUGCGCCCUUUGGUAUUCCAAAGGGCAUGCCUGUUUGAGCGUCAUUUCUCCCUCAAACCCCCGGGUUUGGUGUUGAGCAAUACGCUAGGUUUGUUUGAAAGAAUUUAACGUGGAAACUUAUUUUAAGCGACUUAGGUUUAUCCAAAAACGCUUAUUUUGCUAGUGGCCACCACAAUUUAUUUCAUAACUUUGACCUCAAAUCAGGUAGGACUACCCGCUGAACUUAAGCAUAUCAAUAGCGGGAGGAAGG